AUGACUUGGGUUUGCUGCAGUACUUGUGAGCAUAGUUGCUUAAUGCUCUAUUUAGUACUCCCUCCGUCCCAAAAUAUAAGAUCAUUUUUUUAUACUAAGAUAGUGUCAAAAAUGAUCUUAUAUUUUUGGAUGGAGUACCAUAUUAUUACUUGUAAUGUAGUUGGAAGUUUUGUGUUGUUGAAAUCUUUGAAAUACGCUGAAUACUCUUGGGUCAUCUCCGAAACAAGACCAAUUUUUCAUGUGUAUGUUUGUUACUACCUGCAAACCAAUUUUGGCCAUCCUUUUUAUCUUGCACGAAAAUUGGUUAUAUCACGUCUGUAUAUCAAAAUUUUGUAA
This 336-nucleotide ribosomal RNA is filed under the name Triticum aestivum (bread wheat). RNAcentral's name for it is "partial small subunit ribosomal RNA". Lineage: Eukaryota; Viridiplantae; Streptophyta; Magnoliopsida; Poales; Poaceae. The record is from RNAcentral.